Molecule: non-coding RNA, 124 nt
Organism: Triticum aestivum (bread wheat)
Lineage: Eukaryota; Viridiplantae; Streptophyta; Magnoliopsida; Poales; Poaceae
Source: Rfam
UUAAUACUCCCUCCGUCCGGAAAUACUUGUCCUAAAAAUGGAUAAAAUGAAUGUAUCUAUAACUAAAAUAAGUCUAGAUACAACCAUUUCGAGGACAAGUACUUCCGGACAGAGGGAGUACAUA